Molecule: non-coding RNA, 509 nt
Organism: Peromyscus maniculatus bairdii (prairie deer mouse)
Lineage: Eukaryota; Metazoa; Chordata; Mammalia; Rodentia; Cricetidae
Source: RefSeq, a predicted model, not a curated record
UGCAGAGAACGAGACUCCAAAACUAAUAAUCAUGGGCUCCUGUAUAUUCUGAUUAGACUGUCAUUCUACAUGAUGGUUUUCUUGCUCAUUUUCCUCAUCCAUUUUUGGUGCCAUGCAAAAAGGAAUGUACGUCAAGAAGAAGGCAGUGAGUGUCAUCUGAGUAGCACGAGAAACUGAAACUGGAGGAAUGCAGGUCACAAUCCAUUGAGGGAAGCCAAGGCAGGAACAUGGAUGAAAGAACUGAAACAGAUGCAUUGAAGAUUCUCCACAUACUUGACUGUUCUUAAUGGCUUGGUCAGCCUGCAUUACUCUGCAAUUUGUGAUGACCUGGCAAGAAGUGAAUCUACUCACAGAAGUCUAGGCCUUCCCUCAUCAACCUUGAAACAAGAAAAUUCCCAACAGAUUCCCUCAGGCAAUUUGUGUGGAUGCAUAUUAUCAAUUGAUAGGCCCAAAUGAAUAUAUCUUGUUUCAAACUGACAAAAAUAAAUAAGUAAAUAACUGGGACACUA